Notothenia coriiceps (black rockcod) is the source of this 125-nucleotide long non-coding RNA. RefSeq lists it as uncharacterized. Lineage: Eukaryota; Metazoa; Chordata; Actinopteri; Perciformes; Nototheniidae. The transcript has 2 exons. The record is from RefSeq and is a predicted model, not a curated record.
CAAAGACAGAGAAGAGGAAGCAGCGGUCGGUGUUCAGGGACGUACUUAGAGCUGUUGAGGAGAGUGACUUCCAGCCUGAGACCAUUCGAUUCGGCACAGAGCACAUGAUCAUCGACAGCUGGGUC